UCCAUUCAAUAGGCGGAGGAAAGAAACUAACAAGGAUUCCCCUAGUAACGGCGAGUGAAGCGGGAAAAGCUCAAAUUUGAAAUCUGGCAGCCUCAGGUUGUCCGAGUUGUAAUCUAUAGAAACGUUUUCCGCGCCGGCCCAUGUACAAGUCCCUUGGAACAGGGCGUCAUAGAGGGUGAGAAUCCCGUCCUUGACACGGACCACCGGUGCUUUGUGAUACGUUUUCAACGAGUCGAGUUGUUUGGGAAUGCAGCUCAAAAUGGGUGGUAAAUUCCAUCUAAAGCUAAAUAUUGGCGAGAGACCGAUAGCGAACAAGUACCGUGAGGGAAAGAUGAAAAGCACUUUGGAAAGAGAGUUAAACAGUAUGUGAAAUUGUUGAAAGGGAAACGAUUGAAGUCAGUCGUGUCUAUUGGACUCAGCCGGUUCUGCCGGUGUACUUCCUUUAGAUGGGGUCAACAUCAGUUUUGAUCGCUGGAAAAGGGCGGGAGGAAUGUAGCACUCUCGGGUGAACUUAUAGCCUUCCGUCGUAUACAGUGGUUGGGACUGAGGAACGCAGCAUGCCUUUAUGUCCGGGUUUCGCCCACGUACA
This 589-nucleotide ribosomal RNA is filed under the name Solicoccozyma aeria. RNAcentral describes it as "eukaryotic LSU rRNA". It matches the Rfam family "Eukaryotic large subunit ribosomal RNA", at positions 37 to 621 of the family's 3401-position model. The record is from RNAcentral. Lineage: Eukaryota; Fungi; Basidiomycota; Tremellomycetes; Filobasidiales; Piskurozymaceae.